RNAcentral lists this ribosomal RNA (1370 nucleotides) under uncultured bacterium. RNAcentral describes it as "bacterial SSU rRNA". It matches the Rfam family "Bacterial small subunit ribosomal RNA", at positions 28 to 1381 of the family's 1533-position model. The record is from RNAcentral.
GAUGAACGCUGGCGGCGUGCCUAAUACAUGCAAGUCGAGCGAACGGACGAGAAGCUUGCUUUUCUGAUGUUAGCGGCGGACGGGUGAGUAACACGUGGAUAACCUACCUAUAAGACUGGGAUAACUUCGGGAAACCGGAGCUAAUACCGGAUAAUAUUUUGAACCGCAUGGUUCAAAAGUGAAAGACGGUCUUGCUGUCACUUAUAGAUGGAUCCGCGCUGCAUUAGCUAGUUGGUAAGGUAACGGCUUACCAAGGCAACGAUGCAUAGCCGACCUGAGAGGGUGAUCGGCCACACUGGAACUGAGACACGGUCCAGACUCCUACGGGAGGCAGCAGUAGGGAAUCUUCCGCAAUGGGCGAAAGCUGACGGAGCAACGCCGCGUGAGUGAUGAAGGUCUUCGGAUCANUAAACUCUGUUAUUAGGGAAGAACGUAUGUGUAAGUAACUGUGCACAUCUUGACGGUACCUAAUCAGAAAGCCACGGCUAACUACGUGCCAGCAGCCGCGGUAAUACGUAGGUGGCAAGCGUUAUCCGGAAUUAUUGGGCGUAAAGCGCGCGUAGCGGUUUUUUAAGUCUGAUGUGAAAGCCCACGGCUCAACCGUGGAGGGUCAUUGGAAACUGGAAAACUUGAGUGCAGAAGAGGAAAGUGGAAUUCCAUGUGUAGCGGUGAAAUGCGCAGAGAUAUGGAGGAACACCAGUGGCGAAGGCGACUUUCUGGUCUGUAACUGACGCUGAUGUGCGAAAGCGUGGGGAUCAAACAGGAUUAGAUACCCUGGUAGUCCACGCCGUAAACGAUGAGUGCUAAGUGUUAGGGGGUUUCCGCCCCUUAGUGCUGCAGCUAACGCAUUAAGCACUCCGCCUGGGGAGUACGACCGCAAGGUUGAAACUCAAAGGAAUUGACGGGGACCCGCACAAGCGGUGGAGCAUGUGGUUUAAUUCGAAGCAACGCGAAGAACCUUACCAAAUCUUGACAUCCUUUGACAACUCUAGAGAUAGAGCCUUCCCCUUCGGGGGACAAAGUGACAGGUGGUGCAUGGUUGUCGUCAGCUCGUGUCGUGAGAUGUUGGGUUAAGUCCCGCAACGAGCGCAACCCUUAAGCUUAGUUGCCAUCAUUAAGUUGGGCACUCUAAGUUGACUGCCGGUGACAAACCGGAGGAAGGUGGGGAUGACGUCAAAUCAUCAUGCCCCUUAUGAUUUGGGCUACACACGUGCUACAAUGGACAAUACAAAGGGCAGCGAAACCGCGAGGUCAAGCAAAUCCCAUAAAGUUGUUCUCAGUUCGGAUUGUAGUCUGCAACUCGACUACAUGAAGCUGGAAUCGCUAGUAAUCGUAGAUCAGCAUGCUACGGUGAAUACGUUCCCGGGUCU